CCCUGUUGUGCUUAGCAACCUCCCCCCCUUCACAUUUUAAAACAGGAUUCUCUAAAACAGGAUUCUCUUUGGGGUUUAUCUAUACAUUAAGUCUGAUGUAUUGGAAAGAUUUAUUUAUUCUUUUUCCCACAGGGUGAGAAAGAGAUUCUCUUUCCCCCUGUCUAAAAGGCUCAUUUCUGUUUUUUGUUUGUAUGUGAUGGGAAUACACCACCUGUUGCCUGUGUGUAAAACAGAAAGUAUUGACGUUAGAGGCCACAUCUAGCUGCACUUUAAUGUCAGAUUAUUUUAAUUAAAGCCUGAAGCUCCAGUAACAAUAAGGACUUUAGAUUACUUGGUUGCUCUUUGUCAUCCUACAUUAUUCAUUUCUGAAUUGCACAGCCCCGGCUGGGUUGACCAAUUCCAGGCCCAGACCGCCGCUAUCGUGUGACUGUAGGUGUGAACAUGCGGUGAACAACGAGCACAACACUGUGGUGCCUGGGUUCCCCGUAUUUUGUGACACUACAUGCAAACACACAGCUCAACAAGGACGAUCAAUUAUUUUAGCUUUGUUUUCAUUAAAGUUGUUUUGUUGUACUAAUUGCGCACAGCAAACAAGGCCUCGGCUCGGGAGACCGUGCCCUCUCCUCACAGCCAAGAGUCAGAUUGGCACUGGGCAGGCCAAGCCCCCUCCAGCCGGUGUGUGUGUGUCUGUGUCUGUGCGUGUGUAUACCGAGAGGGGGUGCCCCUCUGGCUCCCACCUUCCUCCCCUGAGCCUUGCUCUGGCAGGCCUUCGCUGCAUCCCGCAUUUGAUCCCCAGAUCCAGUCCCCGGAUCGAAGUUCCAGAGCUUGAACUUGAAGAUGGUGAUAGGAUUUGCGCUUUUUCUAUACAGUUUCCAGAAGGACAAGAUAUAAUUCUUUCAUCAAAUGGCACAGAUAUGGAACUAAAUUGUCAUAUUGGCUUCAGAUCAUCUAGGCCAAUUUCGUCUUUAGGGAGUAUAUUCUUCACUGAUGAAGAAGAAAAAAGGCAAGGAAGAAGAGGAGCUGAAGUGGGAAUUUACAGGAAGA
RNAcentral lists this long non-coding RNA (1044 nucleotides) under Anser brachyrhynchus (Pink-footed goose). RNAcentral's name for it is "lncRNA (ENSABRG00000000902.1)". The record is from RNAcentral. Lineage: Eukaryota; Metazoa; Chordata; Aves; Anseriformes; Anatidae.